RNAcentral lists this long non-coding RNA (571 nucleotides) under Homo sapiens (human). Its description in RNAcentral is "HSALNT0001095". Lineage: Eukaryota; Metazoa; Chordata; Mammalia; Primates; Hominidae. The record is from RNAcentral.
GAGGAGGAGGAGCAGAGGCGGAAGGAGGAGGAGGAGGAGGCCCGGCUGGCCAGCAUGCCCGCCUGGAGGCGGGACCUCCUGCGGAAGAAGCUGGAAGAAGAGAGGUGAGCUGGGGGAAAGAGGAGGAGCGACAGAAGCAGGAGGAGCUGCGGCGGGAGAAGGAACAGUCAGAGAAGCUGCGGACGCUGGGCUACGAUGAGAGCAAGCUGGCGCCCUGGCAGCGACAGGUCAUCCUGAAGAAGGGGGACAUCGCUAAGUACUAGAGGCCGCAGACUCCUGUCCGCAGCCUCGCAGCUCCGUGGGGCCCUCCGCCCCAGCCCCAGCCAGCCAGGCCCUGGUGGAAAGGCUGGGAGCCGCACAGCCCUCCCCUCCUGCGCUGGAAACCCUCCCUGACCCCCACCCUGGCCCCCCGUAUCCCCAGCCCUUGGCAACACUGGAGUGCACACGCCGCCACGGUUGCCCAGAAAAAGUGCCCAAGCUGCUGACGCAAACAACAACAAAUGCUGCUUAUUUGCAUGCCGACUUACAUAUAUUUGCAUGUUCGUUGACUAUCAAAGAGUGCAGAGCUCUC